Molecule: long non-coding RNA, 999 nt
Filed under: Linum usitatissimum (flax)
Lineage: Eukaryota; Viridiplantae; Streptophyta; Magnoliopsida; Malpighiales; Linaceae
Description: long non-coding RNA (LUSI_LNC006100)
Source: RNAcentral
CAAACACCCCCCACACAGAGAUGAUUUUGUAAGUUAUUAUAACAGAUUCCACCAAUUUUAGCCUUAGGAGACUGAACAUUAUCAUCUAUGAAACAACACAUAUCCACUUAAGGUUCUUUGUCAAAGUUCAAAUCUUUUGUAACAAAAAAUAUUCAAACCCUAGUAAAGGUGAUCCAAUCUGUUACCCACUUCAGGUUCCAUGUCAAAGUUAAAAUCUUUUGUAACAAAAAACAUUCAAACCCUAGUAAAGGCUAUAAGUUACAACAGAUUCCACCAAUUUGAUCGUUGGGGGUAAUCAAUAUCUCAUCUAUUGAAAAACACAUGUUCAUGUGUUACCCACUUCAGGUUUUUCUGCCAAAGUUCAAAUCUUUAUAACCAAAAACAAACAUUUUCAAACCCUAAUCAAGAGGAUCCAAUCUACCCAUCAAAGAUUCAAAAUUUCAGUUGGUUUUUGGUCCUGUCAUGUUCUAAGAUGAUCACAAUUCACAAGUAUAGCAUAACUCUGUAACAAAUAUUCACAUAAAAUACAACAUUACACAAUCAAUAACCCAUGAGAUUGAAAGGGUUGGGGAGCAUUAUUACCUGAGCCAUGAGAGGGAGGAUUAAUGAGUUACAGAAACAAGAGAUGUUAGGGUUUCUUUUUCUUCUCAGAUAGCAGAUAUGAUGGUGGUGGUGGGGUGAUGAUUAAGAGAUAAGGAUAAUGUAGAGAAUCAAUCAAAACGAGGGCUUGAAGGGAAGAAGAGAAAGACAAGAAAUGGAAUACAAUAAGAUGAUGGAUGCAAUCAGAAGAGAGGUAAAGAGAUUAGAACGAAGGGAAUUGGGGAAAUUUUGAUGGAAAUGAAAAUGUCAAGAAGAAGAGUAUGGGAAGAGAGGGCCAAUAAUGAAGACAAUGGAGAAGAAAUUCCUGAAUGAAAGAUGUUUAUUUGGAAGGAAGGAAAAUGGUGGAGUGCCCAGUAUCCAGCCACCUCCUUCACCUCCUCAAUUCCAUGUGAAAAAAAG